CAGCCGCCGCGGUAAUACGUAGGGUGCAAGCGUUAAUCGGAAUUACUGGGCGUAAAGCGUGCGCAGGCGGUUAUAUAAGUCAGGUGUGAAAUCCCCGGGCUCAACCUGGGAACUGCAUUUGAGACUGUAUGGCUAGAGUGUGUCAGAGGGGGGUAGAAUUCCACGUGUAGCAGUGAAAUGCGUAGAGAUGUGGAGGAACACCGAUGGCGAAGGCAGCCCCCUGGGCCAAUACUGACGCUCAUGCACGAAAGCGUGGGGAGCAAACAGGAUUAGAGACCCCUGUAGUCCCUGUCUCUUAUAA
This 301-nucleotide ribosomal RNA is filed under the name uncultured bacterium. Its description in RNAcentral is "partial 16S ribosomal RNA". It matches the Rfam family "Bacterial small subunit ribosomal RNA", at positions 509 to 809 of the family's 1533-position model. The record is from RNAcentral.